Molecule: long non-coding RNA, 525 nt
Organism: Vitis vinifera (wine grape)
Lineage: Eukaryota; Viridiplantae; Streptophyta; Magnoliopsida; Vitales; Vitaceae
Exons: 2
Source: RefSeq, a predicted model, not a curated record
UCUCGAUCCUUUAGGGUUUUCAGAUUUCGUCACUCCAUCUUUCUCGAUCCGUAAGGGUUUUUGAGGUCUAGGUCUUGAUCUUGAUCUUGGUAUGGCUUUAGGGUUAGGGUCUUAGUCGAAGAUUCAUUGAUUUGGAUCUUGGUGUGGCUUUAGGGUUAGGGUUUUAGAUGAAGAUUCCUUGAUUUCGAGAAGAAAGCCUCUGCUUGACUGAGAAAAUGAGAGACGAAUGUGAAUGUCUCGUCAUUGAUAACAAGAGGAGGUAGAGCGAACGGAAAGGCGAGAUAUCGUUUCAGUCGUCAUUACUCUGGAUUGGCGAUUCGAUUGUUGCUCGUCUACAUUUCUUUCUUACUAAUGUUUUUUAUCUUAUUUUCCUCUGGGAAAAUUAUUGGGUGAAAUGGGAGGGUUGUUUCUUCACUUCGAACGGAUUGGAGAGUUAUAACUUAUUUCUCCAUGCGGAAUGCUCUACGCCCUAAUGCACUCUCGUUUUUCUUGCAUAAUGUUUUUUUUUUACCCCAGAAAAUAAAA